RNAcentral lists this ribosomal RNA (465 nucleotides) under uncultured bacterium. Its description in RNAcentral is "partial 16S ribosomal RNA". It matches the Rfam family "Bacterial small subunit ribosomal RNA", at positions 28 to 507 of the family's 1533-position model. The record is from RNAcentral.
GACGAACGCUGGCGGCGUGCUUAACACAUGCAAGUCGAACGGAAAGGCCCCUUCGGGGGUACUCGAGUGGCGAACAGGUGAGUAAAACGUGAGUAACCUGCCCUUGACUUCGGGAUAACUUCAGGAAACUGGGGCUAAUACCGGAUAGGAAUCCUUGCUGCAUGGUGGGGGUUGGAAAGCUUCGGCGGUUUUGGAUGGACUCGCGGCUUAUCAGCUUGUUGGUGGGGUAGUGGCUUACCAAGGCUUUGACGGGUAGCCGGCCUGAGAGGGCGACCGGCCACAUUGGGACUGAGAUACGGCCCAGACUCCUACGGGAGGCAGCAGUGGGGAAUAUUGCACAAUGGGCGGAAGCCUGAUGCAGCAACGCCGCGUGCGGGAUGACGGCCUUCGGGUUGUAAACCGCUUUCAGCAGGGGCGAAGCUUGUGGUGACGGUACCUGCAGAAGAAGCACCGGCUAACUACGUG